GGCGGACGGGUGAGUAACACGUGGGUAACCUGCCCUUAAGUGGGGGAUAACAUUUGGAAACAGAUGCUAAUACCGCAUAGAUCCAAGAACCGCAUGGUUCUUGGCUGAAAGAUGGCGUAAGCUAUCGCUUUUGGAUGGACCCGCGGCGUAUUAGCUAGUUGGUGAGGUAAUGGCUCACCAAGGCGAUGAUACGUAGCCGAACUGAGAGGUUGAUCGGCCACAUUGGGACUGAGACACGGCCCAAACUCCUACGGGAGGCAGCAGUAGGGAAUCUUCCACAAUGGACGCAAGUCUGAUGGAGCAACGCCGCGUGAGUGAAGAAGGCUUUCGGGUCGUAAAACUCUGUUGUUGGAGAAGAAUGGUCGGCAGAGUAACUGUUGUCGGCGUGACGGUAUCCAACCAGAAAGCCACGGCUAACUACGUGCCAGCAGCCGCGGUAAUACGUAGGUGGCAAGCGUUAUCCGGAUUUAUUGGGCGUAAAGCGAGCGCAGGCGGUUUUUUAAGUCUGAUGUGAAAGCCCUCGGCUUAACCGAGGAAGCGCAUCGGAAACUGGGAAACUUGAGUGCAGAAGAGGACAGUGGAACUCCAUGUGUAGCGGUGAAAUGCGUAGAUAUAUGGAAGAACACCAGUGGCGAAGGCGGCUGUCUGGUCUGUAACUGACGCUGAGGCUCGAAAGCAUGGGUAGCGAACAGGAUUAGAUACCCUGGUAGUCCAUGCCGUAAACGAUGAAUGCUAGGUGUUGGAGGGUUUCCGCCCUUCAGUGC
RNAcentral lists this ribosomal RNA (764 nucleotides) under uncultured bacterium. RNAcentral's name for it is "bacterial SSU rRNA". It matches the Rfam family "Bacterial small subunit ribosomal RNA", at positions 97 to 846 of the family's 1533-position model. The record is from RNAcentral.